This 2924-nucleotide ribosomal RNA is filed under the name Escherichia coli. Its description in RNAcentral is "23S ribosomal RNA". It matches the Rfam family "Bacterial large subunit ribosomal RNA". Lineage: Bacteria; Pseudomonadati; Pseudomonadota; Gammaproteobacteria; Enterobacterales; Enterobacteriaceae. The record is from RNAcentral.
GGGUUGUGAGGUUAAGCGACUAAGCGUACACGGUGGAUGCCCUGGCAGUCAGAGGCGAUGAAGGACGUGCUAAUCUGCGAUAAGCGUCGGUAAGGUGAUAUGAACCGUUAUAACCGGCGAUUUCCGAAUGGGGAAACCCAGUGUGAUUCGUCACACUAUCAUUAACUGAAUCCAUAGGUUAAUGAGGCGAACCGGGGGAACUGAAACAUCUAAGUACCCCGAGGAAAAGAAAUCAACCGAGAUUCCCCCAGUAGCGGCGAGCGAACGGGGAGCAGCCCAGAGCCUGAAUCAGUGUGUGUGUUAGUGGAAGCGUCUGGAAAGGCGCGCGAUACAGGGUGACAGCCCCGUACACAAAAAUGCACAUACUGUGAGCUCGAUGAGUAGGGCGGGACACGUGGUAUCCUGUCUGAAUAUGGGGGGACCAUCCUCCAAGGCUAAAUACUCCUGACUGACCGAUAGUGAACCAGUACCGUGAGGGAAAGGCGAAAAGAACCCCGGCGAGGGGAGUGAAAAAGAACCUGAAACCGUGUACGUACAAGCAGUGGGAGCACGCUUCGGCGUGUGACUGCGUACCUUUUGUAUAAUGGGUCAGCGACUUAUAUUCUGUAGCAAGGUUAACCGAAUAGGGGAGCCGAAGGGAAACCGAGUCUUAACUGGGCGUUAAGUUGCAGGGUAUAGACCCGAAACCCGGUGAUCUAGCCAUGGGCAGGUUGAAGGUUGGGUAACACUAACUGGAGGACCGAACCGACUAAUGUUGAAAAAUUAGCGGAUGACUUGUGGCUGGGGGUGAAAGGCCAAUCAAACCGGGAGAUAGCUGGUUCUCCCCGAAAGCUAUUUAGGUAGCGCCUCGUGAAUUCAUCUCCGGGGGUAGAGCACUGUUUCGGCAAGGGGGUCAUCCCGACUUACCAACCCGAUGCAAACUGCGAAUACCGGAGAAUGUUAUCACGGGAGACACACGGCGGGUGCUAACGUCCGUCGUGAAGAGGGAAACAACCCAGACCGCCAGCUAAGGUCCCAAAGUCAUGGUUAAGUGGGAAACGAUGUGGGAAGGCCCAGACAGCCAGGAUGUUGGCUUAGAAGCAGCCAUCAUUUAAAGAAAGCGUAAUAGCUCACUGGUCGAGUCGGCCUGCGCGGAAGAUGUAACGGGGCUAAACCAUGCACCGAAGCUGCGGCAGCGACACUAUGUGUUGUUGGGUAGGGGAGCGUUCUGUAAGCCUGUGAAGGUGUACUGUGAGGUAUGCUGGAGGUAUCAGAAGUGCGAAUGCUGACAUAAGUAACGAUAAAGCGGGUGAAAAGCCCGCUCGCCGGAAGACCAAGGGUUCCUGUCCAACGUUAAUCGGGGCAGGGUGAGUCGACCCCUAAGGCGAGGCCGAAAGGCGUAGUCGAUGGGAAACAGGUUAAUAUUCCUGUACUUGGUGUUACUGCGAAGGGGGGACGGAGAAGGCUAUGUUGGCCGGGCGACGGUUGUCCCGGUUUAAGCGUGUAGGCUGAUUUUCCAGGCAAAUCCGGAGAAUCAAGGCUGAGGCGUGAUGACGAGGCACUACGGUGCUGAAGCAACAAAUGCCCUGCUUCCAGGAAAAGCCUCUAAGCAUCAGGUAACAUCAAAUCGUACCCCAAACCGACACAGGUGGUCAGGUAGAGAAUACCAAGGCGCUUGAGAGAACUCGGGUGAAGGAACUAGGCAAAAUGGUGCCGUAACUUCGGGAGAAGGCACGCUGAUAUGUAGGUGAAGUCCCUCGCGGAUGGAGCUGAAAUCAGUCGAAGAUACCAGCUGGCUGCAACUGUUUAUUAAAAACACAGCACUGUGCAAACACGAAAGUGGACGUAUACGGUGUGACGCCUGCCCGGUGCCGGAAGGUUAAUUGAUGGGGUCAGCGCAAGCGAAGCUCUUGAUCGAAGCCCCGGUAAACGGCGGCCGUAACUAUAACGGUCCUAAGGUAGCGAAAUUCCUUGUCGGGUAAGUUCCGACCUGCACGAAUGGCGUAAUGAUGGCCAGGCUGUCUCCACCCGAGACUCAGUGAAAUUGAACUCGCUGUGAAGAUGCAGUGUACCCGCGGCAAGACGGAAAGACCCCGUGAACCUUUACUAUAGCUUGACACUGAACAUUGAGCCUUGAUGUGUAGGAUAGGUGGGAGGCUUUGAAGUGUGGACGCCAGUCUGCAUGGAGCCGGCCUUGAAAUACCACCCUUUAAUGUUUGAUGUUCUAACGUAGACCCGUGAUCCGGGUUGCGGACAGUGUCUGGUGGGUAGUUUGACUGGGGCGGUCUCCUCCUAAAGAGUAACGGAGGAGCACGAAGGUUGGCUAAUCCUGGUCGGACAUCAGGAGGUUAGUGCAAUGGCAUAAGCCAGCUUGACUGCGAGCGUGACGGCGCGAGCAGGUGCGAAAGCAGGUCAUAGUGAUCCGGUGGUUCUGAAUGGAAGGGCCAUCGCUCAACGGAUAAAAGGUACUCCGGGGAUAACAGGCUGAUACCGCCCAAGAGUUCAUAUCGACGGCGGUGUUUGGCACCUCGAUGUCGGCUCAUCACAUCCUGGGGCUGAAGUAGGUCCCAAGGGUAUGGCUGUUCGCCAUUUAAAGUGGUACGCGAGCUGGGUUUAGAACGUCGUGAGACAGUUCGGUCCCUAUCUGCCGUGGGCGCUGGAGAACUGAGGGGGGCUGCUCCUAGUACGAGAGGACCGGAGUGGACGCAUCACUGGUGUUCGGGUUGUCAUGCCAAUGGCACUGCCCGGUAGCUAAAUGCGGAAGAGAUAAGUGCUGAAAGCAUCUAAGCACGAAACUUGCCCCGAGAUGAGUUCUCCCUGACCCUUUAAGGGUCCUGAAGGAACGUUGAAGACGACGACGUUGAUAGGCCGGGUGUGUAAGCGCAGCGAUGCGUUGAGCUAACCGGUACUAAUGAACCGUGAGGCUUAACCUUACAACGCCGAAG